UUGGAAGGAGCCUAGGGCUUUGACCACGUACCUGUUGAAAAAUGAGCUGACUACUCAUAAGCAGUAGCUUGGUUAAGGGAACUCACCGGAGCUGUAGCGAAAGCGAGUCUUCAUAAGGCAGUUGUCACUGCUUAUGGACUCGAACUUGGGUGAUCUAUCCAUCACUAGGAUGAAACUUGGGUGAAACUAAGUGGAGGUCCGAACCGACUGAUGUUGAAGAAUCAGCGGAUGAGUUGUGAUUAGGGGUGAAAUGCCACUUGAACACUAUAGUUCUAAUAGGGUCGGA
This 286-nucleotide non-coding RNA is filed under the name Gossypium barbadense (sea-island cotton). RNAcentral's name for it is "Bacterial large subunit ribosomal RNA". It matches the Rfam family "Bacterial large subunit ribosomal RNA", at positions 573 to 862 of the family's 2925-position model. Lineage: Eukaryota; Viridiplantae; Streptophyta; Magnoliopsida; Malvales; Malvaceae. The record is from Rfam by way of RNAcentral.